UACGUAGGUGACCAGCGUUGUCCGGAUUUACUGGGCGUAAAGAGCGCGCAGGCGGUCGUUCAAGUCGAGUGUGAAAGCCCCCGGCUCAACUGGGGAGGGUCAUUCGAUACUGAUCGACUCGAAGGCAGGAGAGGGAAGCGGAAUUCCCGGUGUAGUGGUGAAAUGCGUAGAUAUCGGGAGGAACACCAGUGGCGAAGGCGGCUUCCUGGCCUGUUCUUGACGCUGAGGCGCGAAAGCCAGGGGAGCAAACGGG
Molecule: ribosomal RNA, 253 nt
Filed under: uncultured bacterium
Lineage: Bacteria
Description: partial 16S ribosomal RNA
Rfam family: Bacterial small subunit ribosomal RNA
Source: RNAcentral